GAUGAAGAACGCAGCGAAAUGCGAUAAGUAAUGUGAAUUGCAGAAUUCCGUGAAUCAUCGAAUCUUUGAACGCACAUUGCGCCCUUUGGUAUUCCUUAGGGCAUGCCUGUUCGAGCGUCAUUUGAAACCUCAAGCUCAGCUUGGUGUUGGGUGUCUGUCCCCGCCUCACCGCGGGGACUCGCCUCAAAAUCAUUGGCGGCCGGUACGUUGGCUUCGAGCGCAGCAGAAACGCGAACUCGAGGCCCGGCGGAUCGGCGACCAGAAGUCACUUCUUCACAGUUUGACCUCGGAUCAGGUAGGGAUACCCGCUGAACUUAAGCAUAUCAAUAAGCGGAGGA
Molecule: unclassified non-coding RNA, 338 nt
Filed under: soil metagenome
Description: partial contains 5.8S ribosomal RNA, internal transcribed spacer 2, and large subunit ribosomal RNA
Rfam family: 5.8S ribosomal RNA (bases 1-120)
Source: RNAcentral